This is a non-coding RNA of Paramuricea clavata, 72 nucleotides long. NCBI's taxonomy places the organism in Eukaryota, Metazoa, Cnidaria, Anthozoa, Malacalcyonacea, Plexauridae. The record is from the annotation of a GenBank genome assembly.
UCUGUACUGCAGCUCAGGGUUAGAGCGCUGCACUAGAAACGCAGGGCCGCAAGUUCGACUCCUGCCAGAGAG